UUUUCCGGUUGAUCCUGCCGGAGACUACCGCUAUCGGAGUCCGAUUGAGCCAUGCUAGUCCACCGGCCUUUGGCCGGGGCGGAUAGCUGAGUAACACGUGGCCAACCUGCCCUAUGGACGAGGAUAACCUCGGGAAACUGAGGCUAACCCUCGAUAGUAGAGAGUUACUGGAAAUGUUCUCUCUGCGAAAUGUUCCGACGCCAUAGGAUGGGGCCGCGGCUGAUUAGGUCGUUGGUGAGGUAACGGCUCACCAAGCCGAUAAUCAGUAGCAGCCGUGAGAGCGGGAGCUGUCAGUCGGCUUCUGAGACAAGAAGCCGGGCCCUACGGGGUGCAGCAGGCACGAAACCUUCACAAUGCACGCAAGUGCGAUGGGGGGACUCCGAGUGUGGUCUUCCCACAAGGAAGGCCACUUUUCUGCACUGUAAGGAGGUGCCGGAACAAGGGGUGGGCAAUACUGCUGCCAGCCGCCGCGGUAAUAGCAGAACCCCGAGUGGUAGUCGUUAUUAUUGGGCUUAAAGUGUUCGUAGCCGGCCGUGUAAGUCCGCUGUGAAAUCCAGGCGCUUAACGUCUGGGCGUGCAGCGGAUACUGCAUUGGCUAGGGACCGGACGGUGUCGAGGCUAUUCCAGGAGUAGGGGUGAAAUCCUAAAAUUCCUGGAGGAGCGCCUGUGGCGGAAGCGCUCGACAAGUACGGAUCCGACGGUGAGGAACGAAAGCCAGGGGAGCAAAGCGGAUUAGAUACCCGCGUAGUCCUGGCCGUUAACAUUGCCUGUUUGAUGUC
RNAcentral lists this ribosomal RNA (779 nucleotides) under uncultured haloarchaeon. Its description in RNAcentral is "bacterial SSU rRNA". It matches the Rfam family "Archaeal small subunit ribosomal RNA", at positions 1 to 775 of the family's 1478-position model. The record is from RNAcentral. Lineage: Archaea; Methanobacteriati; Methanobacteriota; Halobacteria; Halobacteriales; Halobacteriaceae.